UAGAAUUGACGGGACCGCACAAGCGGUGGAUGAUGUGGAUUAAUUCGAUGCAACGCGAAAACCUUACCUACCCUUGACAUGUCCGGAAUCCCGGAAGAGAUUUGGGAGUGCUCGCAAGAGAGCCGGAACACAGGUGCUGCAUGGCUGUCGUCAGCUCGUGUCGUGAGAUGUUCGGUUAAGUCCGCUAACGAGCGCAACCCUUGCUGUGUGUUACAUGUGUCACACGGGACUGCCGGUCUUAAACCGGAGGAAGGUGGGAUGACGUCAAGUCAGCAUGGCCUUUAUGUCCUGGGCUACACACACGCUACAAUGGCCGGUACAAUAGGUUGCGAAGCCGCGAGGCGGAGCCAAUCCUCAAAGCCGGCCUCAGUUCAGAUUGCAGGCUGCAACCCGCCUGCAUGAAGAUGGAGUUGCUAGUAACCGCAGGUCAGCUAUACUGCGGUGAAUACGUUCCCGGGGCUU
Molecule: ribosomal RNA, 462 nt
Filed under: uncultured Levilinea sp.
Lineage: Bacteria; Bacillati; Chloroflexota; Anaerolineae; Anaerolineales; Anaerolineaceae
Description: bacterial SSU rRNA
Rfam family: Bacterial small subunit ribosomal RNA
Source: RNAcentral